UGGCUCAGAACGAACGCUGGCGGCAGGCUUAACACAUGCAAGUCGAGCGCCUCGCAAGAGGAGCGGCAGACGGGUGAGUAACGCGUGGGAAUCUACCCAUCUCUACGGAACAACUCCGGGAAACUGGAGCUAAUACCGUAUACGUCCUUCGGGAGAAAGAUUUAUCGGAGAUGGAUGAGCCCGCGUUGGAUUAGCUAGUUGGUGGGGUAAUGGCCUACCAAGGCGACGAUCCAUAGCUGGUCUGAGAGGAUGAUCAGCCACAUUGGGACUGAGACACGGCCCAAACUCCUACGGGAGGCAGCAGUGGGGAAUAUUGGACAAUGGGCGCAAGCCUGAUCCAGCCAUGCCGCGUGAGUGAUGAAGGCCCUAGGGUUGUAAAGCUCUUUCAACGGUGAAGAUAAUGACGGUAACCGUAGAAGAAGCCCCGGCUAACUUCGUGCCAGCCG
Molecule: ribosomal RNA, 446 nt
Filed under: Mesorhizobium loti
Lineage: Bacteria; Pseudomonadati; Pseudomonadota; Alphaproteobacteria; Hyphomicrobiales; Phyllobacteriaceae
Description: bacterial SSU rRNA
Rfam family: Bacterial small subunit ribosomal RNA
Source: RNAcentral